AGUUCGGAUUGUAGUCUGCAACCCGACUACAUGAAGCCGGAAUCGCUAGUAAUCGCAGAUCAGAAUGCUGCGGUGAAUACGUUCCCGGGUCUUGUACACACCGCCCGUCACACCAUGGGAGCCGGGAAUGCCCGAAGUCGGCAGCCGAACUGUAAGGAAGGAGCCGCCGAAGGCAGGCCCGGUAACUGGGGUGAAGUCGUAACAAGGUAGC
This 211-nucleotide ribosomal RNA is filed under the name uncultured bacterium. Its description in RNAcentral is "partial 16S ribosomal RNA". It matches the Rfam family "Bacterial small subunit ribosomal RNA", at positions 1290 to 1500 of the family's 1533-position model. The record is from RNAcentral.